GUUACCUGAGUUUGCCUGACUUUAACCAACUCCUCUUCCCUUCCCUCCUCCCUUCUCCAGCGGGCUCUCCUUCCAGCUUCCUCCCGGGCUGCAAUUCCUCUGCCUAGGUGCCUCCGUCCAGCUCCGGCUUCUGGCCCGGAGGCUGCUCAUCUGCCCCUACCCCCGCUGACUUUUGGGAGGAGCAACACCUUUCAGGUCAGCAUUGCUAACCCUAAACUUUCCCCGCCGGAUGCCCGCGAGGCUGCUGCGGCGGCGGCUGCUGCUGAUGGGAGAGUCUCGAGUCCGGCUUUCAUCACAUCACCUGUCUGCGCCCCUUCCCCCUCCCCGCUCUUUUUUUCUUUUCUUUUUAUUUUGACGCAAAUAAUUUGCAUUCUGAGAAUCCCACAAUCAACGCCGAAACUCAUGCUCAAGGAUACAGGUGAAGAUGCCUUUGACAAAGGCGAAUGCGAGCCGAGUGCAGUUUGUAAAAGCUGGGGUUGGGGGCAGUGGUGGAGGCAAAGCACCUUAAGAGUAUUUUUUAGCCCCUCUGAGAAGGGACAUCCGGGCGGGAGGCGGGCGGAUCCCGGGCUUCCCCGCCGGCUGCCGACUCUGGCUCCUGGCUGGCGUUCUCUCCAGGAGCCCGCGCCGGUGGCCCCGCUCUCCCCUUCAGCACGCGGGCCUCGAACCCGCAUCCCGGAGAGCGGCCGCCCGCGCAGCCCCUGCCGCGCGCCGUCGGAGGCGGCCUCAGCUCGCCAUGGGUACUCACUUUUGCCAGGGAGCAAAGUCUGCCACAUCAGUCGAUGAGUACUUCCUGCACGAGGACAUGAAGCUCCAUUGUGUGGAAAGCUGUUUCGCGAACGGUCGGUAAAAUCCAGAAAGAGGGAGAAGGAGUGAGUAAGGCAGAAAGCCCAGCCCAGAAAACCGGCGUCUGGGGAUUUCAGCCUCCGCUCCCCGGUCCCCAGCCCGGUGGCUCUGUGAGAAGAAGCUCAACUCGGUGCACUUGUUCACUCUUUCUUCAUGAGAGGAGGAGUCAGUGUUGCAACAUUUAUGUUCCUUGCUGGAGGCAAAACAGUGAUUUUCUUCAGCAUGCAAAACGUCCAGAGCCUGCCAGUUUUAGAAGGCGACGGAGGUAGUUGGGGGAGCUGGAAUCCUGCGAAGACCUGAAGAAACAACUGAUUCCCCCCAGAUCGGUUUUGCAUGAUUAGGGCCACAUAUCUUUCAUUGAGACUGUACCAGAAAAUAGACAGACAAAACAAUAAUAAAAAUGACUUAGUGAGUUGAAUGACCUCAAAGAUGAUAUUUUUCCAGGCAGCCAAGAUGUGGAGUGUCUCCGUGUCAAAUUUCUUUCCUUAUUUCUGAGUAACAUUGAACAGCAGCUAUAUUUGAGAGGUUCUCCAGGGAUUUGAAUUGCACCUUGCCUGAGGAGUCAGAUAGAAAGGAGCAAAAGAAGAUAGUCAGUGACCUAAGAAGGUUUUGCUUUUUUUUUUUUUUAAUACCCAAAGCGCAAACUUCUAGUGUGCUGUGUUUAUUCUCUGCCAUAUGAAUAUAAUAAACAUUGGCGGUGCCUAAAUAGCCCCACUUCUGUUGUUUUCCACAAAUAAAGAAUUUAUCUUUUCUAAUGGGCUGCAUGUUGUUCUGACUUUUCUUCUUCUUGAAACCACACAC
This 1644-nucleotide long non-coding RNA is filed under the name Homo sapiens (human). Its description in RNAcentral is "non-protein coding lnc-DNAJC21-3:2". The record is from RNAcentral. Lineage: Eukaryota; Metazoa; Chordata; Mammalia; Primates; Hominidae.